AAUUUAACUGGAUUGAAUGCAUAUUAAUUGCAAAUAGAAGAUAGGCCACAAUUCUAACAGCUUUACAGUAUAAGUACAGUUUGCAGGAAUGAUGACAGUUCAUGAGAGGAUACAAAAAAUUUUUAUUUUUAUUUUUAAUUUCUUUUCACAGGUGGGCCAGGAUUGGUAGAUCCUUGUGAAAAGCGGCCUGUGGAUACCCUCACUUCUAUGGGGGAGCAACAGAGAGAGGACAUCACCUCCAGUGCCCAAUUUGCUCUGAGGCUCCUGGCGUUCCGUCAGAUCCACAAGGUUCUGGGCAUGGACCCCCUGCCGCAGGUCAACCCCCGCUUCAAUGUCCGCAACAGCCGCAAGCGUCGCCGCGACAACAGCGAGGGGACGGACAGCUUCGAGGGCGAAGGCAAGAAGGACAAGAAGGACUACGACUAGAAGGACUUCUAAAGCUUCUGUUAUCGUUUACUCUCACACAAAGAUGUACUAACAUGUUGUAUGCGCCGUCUCCUGUGUGCUGGCUGAAGUCCAGUGUGGCUGUUUUUUUUCCUUUAUAAGCUACAGAUGUGUCGGUGUAACUGCAGCCUCACUCUGCUCUGUAAUACACAAACUAAAAUGUCAGGUUGUGUACUGUUUUAGUUGUAGAUUUCUUCAAGUUUGGCUUCUCUAGAUAACAGCGU
This is a long non-coding RNA of Anarrhichthys ocellatus (wolf-eel), 668 nucleotides long. RefSeq lists it as uncharacterized. The record is from RefSeq and is a predicted model, not a curated record. The transcript is spliced from 2 exons. Lineage: Eukaryota; Metazoa; Chordata; Actinopteri; Perciformes; Anarhichadidae.